AUUGAACGCUGGCGGCAGGCUUAACACAUGCAAGUCGAGCGAGCGGCGGACGGGUGAGUAAUGUCUGGGAAACUGCCUGAUGGAGGGGGAUAACUACUGGAAACGGUAGCUAAUACCGCAUACCAUCAGAUGUGCCCAGAUGGGAUUAGCUGGUAGGUGGGGUAAUGGCUCACCUAGGCGACGAUCCCUAGCUGGUCUGAGAGGAUGACCAGCACAACUGGAACUGAGACACGGUCCAGACGCCUACGGGAGGUAGCAGUGGGGAAUAGUGCACAAUGGGCGCAAGCCUGAUGCAGCAAUGCCGCGUGUAUGAAGAAGGCCUUCGGGUUGUAAAGUACUUUCAGCGGGGAGGCGUUACUCGCAGAAGAAGCACCGGCUAACUCCGUGCCAGCCGCCGCGGGAAGAC
This 406-nucleotide ribosomal RNA is filed under the name uncultured bacterium. RNAcentral describes it as "partial 16S ribosomal RNA". It matches the Rfam family "Bacterial small subunit ribosomal RNA", at positions 30 to 526 of the family's 1533-position model. The record is from RNAcentral.